RNAcentral lists this ribosomal RNA (253 nucleotides) under uncultured bacterium. Its description in RNAcentral is "partial 16S ribosomal RNA". It matches the Rfam family "Bacterial small subunit ribosomal RNA", at positions 524 to 776 of the family's 1533-position model. The record is from RNAcentral.
UACAGAGGGUGCGAGCGUUAAUCGGAAUUACUGGGCGUAAAGCGCACGUAGGCGGCUUGGUAUGUCGGGUGUGAAAUCCCCGGGCUCAACCUGGGAACUGCAUCCGAAACUGUCUUGCUCGAGUAUGGGAGAGGGAAGUGGAAUUUCCGGUGUAGCGGUGAAAUGCGUAGAUAUCGGAAGGAACAUCAGUGGCGAAGGCGACUUCCUGGACCAAUACUGACGCUCAGGUGCGAAAGCGUGGGGAGCAAACAGG